CGCGCCGCCGCCGGCCUUGGCCUUGGGGCCCAUGGUGGCCUGGUCCAGGCGGCGAGCCAUGAAGGCCUCCAGGUCCCCGAGCAGCUGUGGGGAUCUCUGGCGGGAGCACCCCGCGUCCACCAUGCUCCCGUGCAGAGCAGCCAUCGCACAUGAGCAGGAAGUUGCACGCGGCCGUGGGGCUCUCCGGCGGGAGCAAGAUGCGGCCGGACGGGACGGCGCGGCGUCCGGGAGCCACCGUGCUGUUUAGUGCGGCAGCACGGCAGCGAGGCUGCUCCCGGACCCAAAUGCGGCCUCUUCCGUGGUGGCUUGGACCGGAUGGCGGUGAUGGUGUGCGCGUAGGCAUCAAUGGCGUCAUCGACCACGCACUCGUCGCUGGCUCUGGGAAGGCACUGUGGGCAUCUGCACCCAAAGCUAGCUGUGCACCUAACCGAGGUCCUUUCCUCAUCCGCACGUACAAGGUUAUAGUGCCUCUAUUCUUCACCCCCACCCCCUAGUUUAUUUGCUGCUAAGUGUAAAUCAUCUUGAUGCAUGUAGAUGAUGUGAUUUUGCUGCCAUUACGAAUUGAUGUUGCUAUGAUGAAGUGUAUGCUAUCUCUUUGUGUAGCUCAAGUGAUUUUGUAUACUAGGUGCAGGUUGUCACUUUAGGUACAUGAGUACCUUUUGGUCCUAUGAUAAACUGAUUUUAGUGUAAUAUUGAAGUGUGCUUUGCGUGAUCAACUGAUAAAGUGAUGAUAAUUAAUUUACAUGUGUGAUACUGACUGCUUAUGUUAUGUGAUAAUGUUCCUAGGUCUUUCAUACAAGUGACCAGAGGAACUCUUAGGUAAUUUUUCUACAACUACUGGUAGUUGGUAAUUUUCCAUUGCGGUUUGUCAGAACUCUGGUUUCAUAGUAGUGGCACCGGCAAACAUGAUUAGCAUAAACAAGCACACAUUAUAAAGUCUUUUAAUUUACAGCAGUACAACACAUAACUAACAUGACCACGUUCACAUGCUUUACUUAUAGCAUGAGCACACAUUAUACAGUUUCCAAAUUGGAAGGACUACUACCCAUAAUUAACAUGACGAAGGACUCAUGCCAUAUUUACAGCAUUAGCACACAUGAUAUAAUUAGUUUUGUAGUGAUGCCAACACGUCCUCAAUUAGCUGCAUAUCACAACCAAGGCUUUUUGGCAGCUUGCCUAGUGCCUCCAGCCGAUCUUUAUCAAUGUGUGGGAUCUUGUAUCUAUUUCCUCCGCCAUCUUUCAUCACCUCAACCAAACACCCUUGUAGUGUUAGGAACACUCUAUUCAAAGUGUCUGGAUCAUAUUUUUCAAACUCAUUCUCUACAUUCGCGAUCAACUCAUCCAAGUUUCUAGAGAUCCUGUCAUAGGUUAGGGAUUGUAGAGAAUUGAAGAAUCCCAGGUCUAGCACAUUCAAAUCUGGGGAAUUGGCAGGUUGGUUGAUGAGUUGUAUGUCAAGCCCUGUCCGUGCUACUGCAGCCCUAAACUCUUUAUCAUUUACUGGCACAUGUGAAAGAGCAUUAUCUUGCUGAAUAUAAAUAGUUUUUCCUCUAAGUUCCUGAGGCCACCAUUGAACAAUAGCAUCUAGGACUUUAUCGAUUAGAUAUGACCUCAUAGUAGCCUGAUCUACCUUGAUAGGUUUGGUUACUUCCGCCCCCCUUCCUCUAUUACGACUUCUUCUUUUUGCUGGUUCCUGUAGUAAAUGAAAUCUAGUAAGGACCUAAAAUUUGUAGCACAAAAUUUAUGGAAGAAAGUGAAACAUGUGCAUACAGUAUGUUGUAUGUACCUUUAUAACAAAUGGCCACACUCCCAGCUUCCCAUAAAAAAUAUAGUUACCUGCGUCAUCAUAUAUUGGUCUUCCAACAGCUGCCAAUAACAUAACUUUUGCCAAUGCGAUUCUUAUUGUGCAGAGUCCUGUGUGGAUCAUCCUCGUCGGGAGCCAUAUAAUAGUUUAUGUACUUGCAUGUUGUGUUGAACCAUUUCUCGUCCAUAUGGAUGAUGUUGUACAUUUCAAUGAACUUGGGGUCAUUUGGCAGUGUUCGUUGAUCUAACAUGGAAAGACACCAUCGUAACCUAUCUUUCUUGUUUUCUUCUGUCAACAAAAGCUUUAGUGUGCUAGAGUGGUGUCGUAGUAGGCCUUCCUUGAACCAUCUAUGCAAAGUGCUCUUCUUUACACCAAUAGCUUUAGCUAGAGAUCGUAUAGUCCUCCUUUUGUGCAAGGGAACUCUAACAACAUCUGAUAGAUUAAUUUGUAUCCUUUUGCGGCCACAAUUCUUUCUCCGUGAUCUAACAUCCACUGGUAUUCCUUGUGCACGACACUGCUUCACUCUCCGCCAAACACGCCGUACUUGAUAUUUACUGACUUGGAACAUUUGCGCUACUAUAUUUGUUGCAUUUCUUUUUAAUUUUCCACGAUUACUUCUCUCAAGCAAUGCUUUAUAUAUUCCUUGCCUUUGCGCAUCUGUCAAAUUUCUAGACUGAUGUUUAUUAUUUUCGUGCCUUUGUUCAUGGACUUCAAUAUCGGAGUCCUCCAGCUCCUCUUCAUCAAAGAUUAUGUCCACAACAUCAUUGUACACACCAUAAUCAUGCAUAUCCUCGAGCAUGUCUACAAAAAAAAUCAAGUUAGGCAGCAGUACGAAUUUGGUGUUACGACUGUUGGCAAAAGAAAAAUCCAUGCUUACUGGAUAUGCAUAUAUUAAUAGAUGCAGUAUGUUUAGUGUUUGUACCAAGAGGAUAUCAAUUCCAAAUGCAUUUAGGAAAAUGCUCUGAAACUAGUUUAGUCAAUGUACGCAUAGAAUAAUUUAAGUAAAAAGGGAUGCUAAUUUGAGGCUUACUGAUCAUUUGAUGCAUCUCCUGUUGCUGCUCUGAGGCUGGAGGUUGAGGUCAAAGACGCCGUAAUCAUGUGGACCAUCAAAGAUGAUAUCUCCAUCUUGUAGGCCAUCAGAAGCUUGUCAUCUGAAGCUAGUAAGUUGAGGUCAAAUACAUUGUGUUCGUUUGGACUGUGAAAGUUGAUAUAUCCAUGUUGUUGAUGAUCGUCCCCAACCGCAAGGACUACAACAAGGAGGGACAAGGGUAGGCAAUUGAAUGUCCCCAACAGCAAGGACUUGUAAGAAUUGAAUUAAGAGAGACAUUACCUAUAUCAGGAUCUUGUUGCUGUCCCUCACAAGCAGGAACGUUUAGAUCUAUGGCAUGCACAGCGCUGUGUUCCCCUUCAUAGAGAUACUGGACUUGACCUUGGAGUUGAUGGACUUCAUUUCCUUCUUGGAGAUGAACUUGAUCUUUAUGAAGAUGGUGGAUUUCGUCUCUCUGAGGUUCUUCGUUGAGGUCAAGCUGAGAAAGAUGGAGUCGAUUGAUGCUGAGGAGUUUGGAUCAAUUGGAGCAAGUGGAUGCCUCACGAGCAGGUGGAGUCUUUUGUAGUGGGAGCAUUGGCGGGGAGUUAAAAUUUUAAUCCCCAGGCACACUGAGCGCCAAAGAGUUCCUGGAAGUUUCUGUACUGGUCUUUGAUGGUCUUUUGUAUGCUGCCACGUGCUUGGUUUUUUUAUUUGUAUGUGCACUGUAACUUGCACAUGGCUGACACAUUUAUAAGGGCAUUAUGGUAAUUUCGCAUAAACAGUA
Molecule: long non-coding RNA, 3612 nt
Organism: Panicum virgatum (switchgrass)
Lineage: Eukaryota; Viridiplantae; Streptophyta; Magnoliopsida; Poales; Poaceae
Exons: 3
Source: RefSeq, a predicted model, not a curated record